CUGCUAGUUGUGCGGGUUUAGACCCGCAGCGGAAAGCUCAGUAACACGUGGCCAAGCUACCCUGUGGACGGGAAUACUCUCGGGAAACUGAGGCUAAUCCCCGAUAACGCUUUGCUCCUGGAAGGGGCAAAGCCGGAAACGCUCCGGCGCCACAGGAUGCGGCUGCGGUCGAUUAGGUAGACGGUGGGGUAACGGCCCACCGUGCCCAUAAUCGGUACGGGUUGUGAGAGCAAGAGCCCGGAGACGGAAUCUGAGACAAGAUUCCGGGCCCUACGGGGCGCAGCAGGCGCGAAACCUUUACACUGUACGAAAGUGCGAUAAGGGGACUCCGAGUGUGAAGGCAUAGAGCCUUCACUUUUGUACACCGUAAGGUGGUGCACGAAUAAGGACUGGGCAAGACCGGUGCCAGCCGCCGCGGUAAUACCGGCAGUCCGAGUGAUGGCCGAUCUUAUUGGGCCUAAAGCGUCCGUAGCUGGCUGAACAAGUCCGUUGGGAAAUCUGUCCGCUUAACGGGCAGGCGUCCAGCGGAAACUGUUCAGCUUGGGACCGGAAGACCUGAGGGGUACGUCUGGGGUAGGAGUGAAAUCCUGUAAUCCUGGACGGACCGCCGGUGGCGAAAGCGCCUCAGGAGAACGGAUCCGACAGUGAGGGACGAAAGCUAGGGUCUCGAACCGGAUUAGAUACCCGGGUAGUCCUAGCUGUAAACGAUGUCCGCUAGGUGUGGCGCAGGCUACGAGCCUGCGCUGUGCCGUAGGGAAGCCGAGAAGCGGACCGCCUGGGAAGUACGUCUGCAAGGAUGAAACUUAAAGGAAUGGCGGG
This 819-nucleotide ribosomal RNA is filed under the name Halobacterium salinarum. RNAcentral's name for it is "bacterial SSU rRNA". It matches the Rfam family "Archaeal small subunit ribosomal RNA", at positions 51 to 872 of the family's 1478-position model. The record is from RNAcentral. Lineage: Archaea; Methanobacteriati; Methanobacteriota; Halobacteria; Halobacteriales; Halobacteriaceae.